UUGUUUUGACAUUGUCCAUUUCCAUCUAUCGUUAGCGCCAAAUUUUCAGAUGUAGAUGGCUGGAGAAAACUUGUUUUACUGCUUGGAUUUAAACUUCCAGAGGCAAUAACAAAAGAAAGCAAAAUUGAAUUUCCAACAGAAGAUCCUAAAAAGUUGGUGCAGGGUUGCUGGGCUCUGCUUGAAUCCGCCUCUGAGCUACCAGAAGAAGUAGUUGCAGCCCUUUUGCAAUGCAGAGCGAAUCACAAGGAAGCUCUUUUAUCUAUUCUCUUCAACGCAAUGGAAGGGAAGGACACAAAAUACGACGUGGCAGGAAAGAUCAUUGAUGAUAAUUGCAAAGAAAAGACAUUCUUGGAGAUUCUAGGAUUCGCCGUCAUUGAAUCAGGCGAAGGGAAAUGCUUGUCAUUGAAAUGGAAGUCUGGUCAUAUCAUCCGUGAUGCAUAUUCUGUUAUAUACGCACUUUUAUAGGGUUGUCUUAGCGUAUGACAUCACACUCCGGCCUGGUGCUGAUGAAACGUAGUUAGAAAGCUUGGCAACUGGAACUCCACUUGCUCAAAAGAACUCGACAAAAUUGCAGUAAAGACACAAUUACUUAAAUUAUAUUUGAUUACACAAUUUUUUAUUGCUGAUUUAACAAGUAAAGGAAAGUUAUUAUU
Molecule: non-coding RNA, 653 nt
Organism: Rhopilema esculentum
Lineage: Eukaryota; Metazoa; Cnidaria; Scyphozoa; Rhizostomeae; Rhizostomatidae
Source: RefSeq, a predicted model, not a curated record